GUUAAAUCAAACCAAAAUCUGUUGCGUAUGAGCCGUAGAUUUUACAAGGGCGAGAUCAACGGGAUGAAAGAUCCAACGGUGAAGCGUGAGCUGAUGUUGAAGGGGCUGAGAGAUCAUCAAUAUUCGGGAUCAUCUUCGAAUCAGGCAGCGGCAGUGGCGGCCAAGGCGGAGCAACUUAAACGGGCGGAGGAGUCUCUCAGAACGGUUAUGUAUUUGAGCUGUUGGGGCCCUAACUAAACGUCGUCCUCUUUAUUUCCACACAGUCGAGCAUAUCUCUCAACGUCAAAGCUACGGUUUUCUCAGAUUAGAUUAGUGACCCUCUGAAAUGUGAAUAAUCAUUAAUCCACCUACUUCAUUUGCAACAAAACGGUAGAGCGACGUCGUUUUGAAUGUAUAAAUGUAAAUAUGCGCUAGAUGUUUUGUUUCCCCAGUU
Molecule: unclassified non-coding RNA, 433 nt
Filed under: Hevea brasiliensis (rubber tree)
Lineage: Eukaryota; Viridiplantae; Streptophyta; Magnoliopsida; Malpighiales; Euphorbiaceae
Source: RNAcentral